This 309-nucleotide ribosomal RNA is filed under the name uncultured eukaryote. RNAcentral describes it as "partial 18S ribosomal RNA". It matches the Rfam family "Eukaryotic small subunit ribosomal RNA", at positions 1470 to 1796 of the family's 1831-position model. The record is from RNAcentral.
CCCUUAGAUGUUCUGGGCGGCCCGCGCACUACAUUGGCACUCUCAAUAAGUUCCUAGAUCUAAAACUUUGGGGUAUUCUAUUAAGUGGUGUCGUGACUGGGAUUAACCCUUGCAAUUAUUGGUUACGAACGAGGAAUUCCUUGUAAUCGCGGUCUAUCAGCCCGCGUUGAAUGCGUCCCUGCCCUUUGUACACACCGCCCGUCGCUCCUACCGAUGAAUCGUCCGGUGAAGUUCAUGGAGUGGUGGUUGUUCCAGCUGCUGUCGAAGUGAAAUGGACCUCACGAUUUAGAGGAAGGAGAAGUCGUAACA